This 955-nucleotide ribosomal RNA is filed under the name Sphingobacterium sp. UA-V10126. RNAcentral describes it as "bacterial SSU rRNA". It matches the Rfam family "Bacterial small subunit ribosomal RNA", at positions 56 to 997 of the family's 1533-position model. Lineage: Bacteria; Pseudomonadati; Bacteroidota; Sphingobacteriia; Sphingobacteriales; Sphingobacteriaceae. The record is from RNAcentral.
UGCAAGUCGGACGGGAUUCCAUCGGAAGAAGCUUGCUCGAAGAAUGGUGAAGAAGUGGCGCACGGGUGCGUAACGCGUGAGCAACCUACCUCUAUCAGGGGGAUAGCCUCUCGAAAGAGAGAUUAACACCGCAUAAUAUCAACAGUUCGCAUGUUCAGUUGAUUAAAUAUUUAUAGGAUAGAGAUGGGCUCGCGUGACAUUAGCUAGUUGGUAGGGUAACGGCUUACCAAGGCGACGAUGUCUAGGGGCUCUGAGAGGAGAAUCCCCCACACUGGUACUGAGACACGGACCAGACUCCUACGGGAGGCAGCAGUAAGGAAUAUUGGUCAAUGGGCGGAAGCCUGAACCAGCCAUGCCGCGUGCAGGAUGACUGCCCUAUGGGUUGUAAACUGCUUUUGUCCAGGAAUAAACCUAGAUACGUGUAUCUAGCUGAAUGUACUGGAAGAAUAAGGAUCGGCUAACUCCGUGCCAGCAGCCGCGGUAAUACGGAGGAUCCGAGCGUUAUCCGGAUUUAUUGGGUUUAAAGGGUGCGUAGGCGGCCUAUUAAGUCAGGGGUGAAAUACGGUGGCUCAACCAUCGCAGUGCCUUUGAUACUGAUGGGCUUGAAUCCAUUUGAAGUGGGCGGAAUAAGACAAGUAGCGGUGAAAUGCAUAGAUAUGUCUUAGAACUCCGAUUGCGAAGGCAGCUCACUAAGCUGGUAUUGACGCUGAUGCACGAAAGCGUGGGGAUCGAACAGGAUUAGAUACCCUGGUAGUCCACGCCCUAAACGAUGAUAACUCGAUGUUGGCGAUAGACAGCCAGCGUCCAAGCGAAAGCGUUAAGUUAUCCACCUGGGGAGUACGCCCGCAAGGGUGAAACUCAAAGGAAUUGACGGGGGCCCGCACAAGCGGAGGAGCAUGUGGUUUAAUUCGAUGAUACGCGAGGAACCUUACCCGGGCUUGAAAGUUAGUGAAGA